CGUGUAGGCGGUUUGCUAAGUCAUGUGUGAAAUCCCUCGGCUCAACCGGGGAACGACGCUUGAAACUGGCAAGCUAGAGUACCAAAGAGGGGGGUGGAAUUCCCGGUGUAGCGGUGAAAUGCGUAGAUAUUGGGAGGAACACCUGUGGCGAAGGCGGCCCCCUGGUUGGAUACUGACGCUGAGACGCGAAAGCGUGGGGAGCAAACA
RNAcentral lists this ribosomal RNA (207 nucleotides) under uncultured bacterium. RNAcentral's name for it is "partial 16S ribosomal RNA". It matches the Rfam family "Bacterial small subunit ribosomal RNA", at positions 568 to 774 of the family's 1533-position model. The record is from RNAcentral.